RNAcentral lists this long non-coding RNA (645 nucleotides) under Equus caballus (horse). RNAcentral describes it as "lncRNA (ENSECAG00000059293.1)". The record is from RNAcentral. Lineage: Eukaryota; Metazoa; Chordata; Mammalia; Perissodactyla; Equidae.
CUAAGGUUCUGGAUGAACGUUUGCUUCCACCAAUGAGAAGCACAUGUGUGAGAUUUGGAAGUUGGAAGUGAGAUGAAGGCCUCCUUCUUCCAAAUGAGCUGCCGGCUCAUCGGUGUUUGCAGCCAGGCUCAGCAUUCCAGUGUCGAGUAAUCAAUCAGCUUUGCCAUCAUCUAUAGGCAGUGACCAAGAUGCAGCAGUCAUUGUGCAGUCACCAAUUUUGGGGGGAACUGAGGCAACUGUGGGACUCAAGCAGUGGAAACAGCAGCAAUUUUCUGGCCUCUGGAUUGUAGUUGUGUGCCUUGAAAUCAAUAUCUAGCAGUGGGCCACUGUCUUCUGCUGCUGGAACCCAACCUACAAUUUUCCAUAAACAGGGAAGAAGACGCAAAAGUAACAGACAUGAAUGUGUAGAAGGUGCGUAAAGUAGAAUUACAGUGCUGAGAGCAACAAUACGCAAAGUAAAAAAUAAGUUUGUAGAUUAGAGAAUGGAGCUGAAGGACAGACGGUUGCAAAAGAAGUCAACACUAACUGAAGAAUACAGUGAAGGGUGUCGCAGAGUAAAAGUUGGAAUUGAAUAUGCAUUCUUGGUUUGAUAGAGAACUUCUCAAGUAAGUUAGUUGUUUAUAUUUGAUUUAGAAGGCAAUGAGA